RNAcentral lists this small RNA (125 nucleotides) under Marmota monax (woodchuck). The record is from RNAcentral. Lineage: Eukaryota; Metazoa; Chordata; Mammalia; Rodentia; Sciuridae.
GCCGGGUAUGGUGGCUCACACCUGUAAUCCCAGCAACUCGGGAGGCUGAGGCAAGAGGAUUGGAAGUUCAGAGCCAGCCACAGCAAAAGCAAGGUGCUAAGCAACUCAGUGAGACCCUGUCUCUA